UGCAGCCUUGGUGAGCAUAAAACUGACCCCAACUCUUAAACAGUAGUGUAUGUUAUUUUAUCAGGCUAGAUUUUAUUCAGUUUGAUCCCAUUGUUUUUAAUCAGUUAUUUGUCUCAUUCAUAAAGAGAGCACCGUAAUGUAGUAAAUAAGUAGUCUUUUAUAAUGUAAUUUACUGCACAGAGGAACCAGUAUCGCCUCUAUCAAUUUAUCCUGGGUUGUAUUUUUAAAUUUAUGCAACACAUUUCCCAUAUGUAUCAAUUGUAAGUAUACAAAACACAGUAACCUACAGACGUCAUUUUGCAUUUCAGAAUCCACUUUGACGAGUCGUAUUAACCCUGUUUAACCCACCUUCUUUUCACUGCCCUAAUUAUCUGUCCAUAUCACAUUUUUCUCAAUUCUGCAUUCGUGUAAACAUGCUGUUUUCCCAUUUGUAAUAAUACAUAUCGUUCAUGUUUACAUUUGAAUUACUGAUUAUUUCCAUGGCAACUCAAAGGCAGCUUCAGUGGAACUUGGGCACUGUACAGAGGACAUUAGGCAGUGCCUCAUGACCCUGUGGAUUUAUUACAAGCACUCAAAUGUGACUCCAUGGAAGAUUAUAUUCAUUGUUAAUUAAGUGAAUUAUUUAUCUCUAAUAAUUUUAAGUCUUGUCAUAGUAUAUGUAUUUCCCAAUCAAAGAAAUGUUUGUAAAUCAGUUCACAUUAUUUAUUUAUGAAGCAAAAAAUUAUUACAAAAAAACUUUUAAUUGUAAUCAGAAAGAAUUAGGAGAUUGUAUGUUUGUUAAUUAACUCACAAUGCUCUUGUGAACAUAUCUUUUAUUAUUGUAAUUGCAAAACGAUGUUUGUCUUAACAUUAUGAAAUCCUUUCUAACCCUCUGCUAUGAAUCAACUGAAAAGAAUAACCUAUUGUAGAUCCACAUCUAACCUGCCUACCGAUAUACUGACUUUUGUAUGUGAAAGUUAAGCAAUAGCUUUUAAUCCCGGCAUUUUUUAUCGAUUCCAUGAGGAGACCGAAGACCGGGUCUGUCUGUUUAAAUGUGUCUGCGUGCAGGGUUAAUCACGUACGGAUCUGAGGACAGAAAUGUGCUUCUCUUUCAUGGGUUAUUUGUUGUUUUCACUAUACUCAAUGGCAGAGUUAGUCAGGGUAUAUAGAGGAACUGCACGCAAUGCCUGAGAAAAGAGCAUUAACCUAUGUAUUUUUGUUCGUCAUACCCGCAUGAGGGACCUCAAUGUGCCAUACCCAUUCUUUUCAAAACUACUAAAUUCUAUCCUUUAUUUUUGUUCAUGAAAAAUUAAAAACCUUGUGUGUCAUGUUGGACUGUAAAUACACUUCAAAUGACAUAUUUGAUCAGACAAAUACAACGAAAGAUCAUU
This is a long non-coding RNA of Sinocyclocheilus anshuiensis, 1370 nucleotides long. RefSeq lists it as uncharacterized. The record is from RefSeq and is a predicted model, not a curated record. The transcript has 2 exons. NCBI's taxonomy places the organism in Eukaryota, Metazoa, Chordata, Actinopteri, Cypriniformes, Cyprinidae.